Long non-coding RNA from Dermacentor silvarum, 250 nucleotides. RefSeq lists it as uncharacterized. The transcript has 3 exons. Lineage: Eukaryota; Metazoa; Arthropoda; Arachnida; Ixodida; Ixodidae. The record is from RefSeq and is a predicted model, not a curated record.
UUUAUUUUACUUGUACCUACCGGACUUCAACUACGGUGGGCCUUUCAUUAGCCUCUACCGGAAUAAGCCUCGUCAGUGACGUCCUGCUGCUUCACUCUGUCAACUAUGGAAGCGUCAAGCAGCAAUCUUCCACUCCUGAAGCCGUUCCACGAAACGUCUUUUCGAUGAUGCGGUGGGCUCUCAGUAUGAAGCUGUUCAUCAUAUUUUUCGACUUCUAUGAAAACAUAUUCUGCUUCUAUACCUGCACUGA